CUCUACGUAAAAUAAUAAAUAGUUAAAAAGGAUAGAAAAUCCUAAAUCCUAAACCUUUCCCAGCUUCUAUCUCUUCUCUGCAUCUUCUCCUCCUUUCUUUUUGGUUAUCGAUUCCAUGGCCUCGCAAGGCUCCCAAGGCACGCGUAGCAGGUCGAAUCAGCAACCAGGCCCUUGACGCCCGUCGAAGGAGGACAACAUGUUAUUGUGGUGAGAGGCCCGUGCUUGCUACUUCGUCCACUGCAGAGAAUCCUGUAUGCAGGUUCUGGGCUGUGUUAAUUAUGUGAUUGGAAAAGAGUGAGGGUACUUUGUGCUUUGUGUGGUGGGCAGAAUCCGAGGAUGACCCAAGAGUUGCAAAAUUGAGAAGAAAAGUCACAACUUUGAAGGAUAAAUUGGCAACGUUUCAACUGAGGUCUAUAAUUGUAGUAUCAUUUACUCUGGUUGAAUGGACAGCUGCAUUAAUCUUACUAUUUUAGUGUGUGAAAAGAUGACUUUCACAACUAAGUGUGCCCUUUAAACAAAAUAAAAUGACAUUAUAACUAAGUGUACCCUUCAAACAAAAUAAAAAAUGACAAUAUUUUAUGGUUGUGGAAAC
Molecule: long non-coding RNA, 592 nt
Organism: Arachis ipaensis
Lineage: Eukaryota; Viridiplantae; Streptophyta; Magnoliopsida; Fabales; Fabaceae
Source: RefSeq, a predicted model, not a curated record